This 791-nucleotide ribosomal RNA is filed under the name uncultured bacterium. RNAcentral's name for it is "bacterial SSU rRNA". It matches the Rfam family "Bacterial small subunit ribosomal RNA", at positions 8 to 796 of the family's 1533-position model. The record is from RNAcentral.
AGAGUUUGAUCCUGGCUCAGGAUGAACGCUGGCGGCGUGCCUAACACAUGCAAGUCGAGCGUGAUUGUUAUGAGUGAAGACUUCGGUCAAAGCGAGUAACAUGAAAGCGGCGGACGGGUGAGUAACGCGUGGGCAACCUGCCCCAUACACGAGGAUAGCCACUGGAAACGGUGAUUAAUACUCGAUAAGACCACACUGCCACAUGGCAGAGCGGCCAAAGAUUUAUCGGUAUGGGAUGGGCCUGCGUCUGAUUAGCUAGUUGGUGAGGUAACGGCUCACCAAGGCGACGAUCAGUAGCCGACCUGAGAGGGUAAUCGGCCACAUUGGAACUGAGACACGGUCCAAACUCCUACGGGAGGCAGCAGUGGGGAAUAUUGCACAAUGGGCGAAAGCCUGAUGCAGCAACGCCGCGUGAGUGAUGAAGGCCUUUGGGUCGUAAAGCUCUGUCCUAAGGGAAGAAACAAAUGACGGUACCUUAGGAGGAAGCCCCGGCUAACUACGUGCCAGCAGCCGCGGUAAUACGUAGGGGGCAAGCGUUAUCCGGAAUUAUUGGGCGUAAAGAGUGCGUAGGUGGUUAUUUAAGCGCGAGGUGAAAGGCUACAGCUUAACUGUAGUAAGCCUUGCGAACUGGAUGACUUGAGUGCAGGAGAGGAAAGCGGAAUUCCUAGUGUAGCGGUGAAAUGCGUAGAUAUUAGGAGGAACACCAGUGGCGAAGGCGGCUUUCUGGACUGUAACUGACACUGAGGCACGAAAGCGUGGGGAGCAAACAGGAUUAGAUACCCUGGUAGUCC